UACGUAGGGGGCAAGCGUUAUCCGGAUUUACUGGGUGUAAAGGGAGCGUAGGUGGUUUGGUAAGUCAGAUGUGAAAGCCCGCGGCUUAACUGCGGGACUGCAUUUGAAACUAUCAAACUAGAGUGCAGGAGAGGUAAGUGGAAUUCCUAGUGUAGCGGUGAAAUGCGUAGAUAUUAGGAGGAACACCAGUGGCGAAGGCGGCUUACUGGACUGUAACUGACACUGAGGCUCGAAAGCGUGGGGAGCAAAC
This 250-nucleotide ribosomal RNA is filed under the name uncultured bacterium. Its description in RNAcentral is "partial 16S ribosomal RNA". It matches the Rfam family "Bacterial small subunit ribosomal RNA", at positions 524 to 773 of the family's 1533-position model. The record is from RNAcentral.